GCAAGUCGCACGAGAACGCUUCAGCUUGCUGAAGUAAGUAAAGUGGCGCACGGGUGAGUAACGCGUGGGUAAUCUACCCUUGAAUUGGGGAUAACAUCGCGAAAGUGAUGCUAAUACCGAAUGACAUCCUGAGAACUUAUGUUUUCAGGAUCAAAGAUGGCCUCUACAUGUAAGCUAUUGUUUGGGGAUGAGCCCGCGUACCAUUAGCUUGUUGGUAGGGUAAUGGCCUACCAAGGCUACGAUGGUUAGCUGGUCUGAGAGGAUGAUC
This 268-nucleotide ribosomal RNA is filed under the name uncultured bacterium. RNAcentral describes it as "partial 16S ribosomal RNA". It matches the Rfam family "Bacterial small subunit ribosomal RNA", at positions 57 to 305 of the family's 1533-position model. The record is from RNAcentral.